GUGCUUGCUUCAGCAACACAUAUACUAUGAUUGGAACGAUACAGAAAAGAUUAGCAUGGUCCCUGCACAAGGAUGAUACAUAAAAUAAAAUCAGUCACAGCAGUUCU
Molecule: small nuclear RNA, 107 nt
Organism: Ursus americanus (American black bear)
Lineage: Eukaryota; Metazoa; Chordata; Mammalia; Carnivora; Ursidae
Source: Ensembl